AUGAACGUUGGCGGCGUGGAUUAGGCAUGCAAGUCGAGCGAGAACCCCGCAAGGGGGGACAGCGGCGAAAGGGACAGUAAUGUGUAGAUUAUCUGCCCUCAGGUCCGGGAUAGCUGCGGGAAACUGCAGGUAAUACCGGAUAACAUCUCCGGAUCAAAGGUGUGAUUCCGCCUGAGGAUGAGUCUGCAUCCUAUUAGCUAGUUGGUGGGGUAAUGGCCUACCAAGGCAUUGAUGGGUAGCAGGUGUGAGAGCACGACCUGCGUCAUUGGGACUGAGACACUGCCCAGACACCUACGGGUGGCUGCAGUCGAGAAUCGUCGGCAAUGGGCGCAAGCCUGACCGAGCGACGCCGCGUGUGGGAUGAAGGCCUUCGGGUUGUAAACCACUGUCAGAGGGGAUGAAAUGCAGGUGGGUUCUCCCAUCUGUUUGACAUAGCCUCAGAGGAAGGACGGGCUAAGUUCGUG
This 464-nucleotide ribosomal RNA is filed under the name uncultured bacterium. RNAcentral describes it as "partial 16S ribosomal RNA". It matches the Rfam family "Bacterial small subunit ribosomal RNA", at positions 29 to 507 of the family's 1533-position model. The record is from RNAcentral.